RNAcentral lists this ribosomal RNA (669 nucleotides) under uncultured bacterium. Its description in RNAcentral is "bacterial SSU rRNA". It matches the Rfam family "Bacterial small subunit ribosomal RNA", at positions 56 to 688 of the family's 1533-position model. The record is from RNAcentral.
UGCAAGUCGAACGGAAGUCGUUAUGAUGAUUUCAACACUGACAGAGAACUUGUUCAAAGAAAGUAGAGAUUGACUUAUAACAAUGGCUUUAGUGGCGGACUGGUGAGUAACACGUGAGCAACCUGCCUAUCAGAGGGGAAUAACAGUGAGAAAUCAUUGCUAAUACCGCAUAUGCCAUAAAUAUCACAUGAUGAAAGUGGGAAAGGAGUAAUCCGCUGAUAGAUGGGCUCGCGUCUGAUUAGAUAGUUGGUGGGGUAACGGCCUACCAAGUCGACGAUCAGUAGCCGGACUGAGAGGUUGAACGGCCACAUUGGGACUGAGAUACGGCCCAGACUCCUACGGGAGGCAGCAGUCGGGAAUAUUGCGCAAUGGAGGAAACUCUGACGCAGUGACGCCGUGUAUAGGAAGAAGGUUUUCGGAUUGUAAACUAUUGUCGUUAGGGAAGAUACAAGACAGUACCUAAGGAGGAAGCUCCGGCUAACUACGUGCCAGCAGCCGCGGUAAUACGUAGGGAGCAAGCGUUAUCCGGAUUUAUUGGGUGUAAAGGGUGCGUAGACGGGAAAGCAAGUUAGUUGUGAAAUCCCUCGGCUUAACUGAGGAACUGCAACUAAAACUACUUUUCUUGAGUGUUGGAGAGGAAAGUGGAAUUCCUAGUGUAGCGGUAAAAUG